CAGCCAUCAUUUAAAGAAAGCGUAAUAGCUCACUGGUCGAGUCGGCCUGCGCGGAAGAUGUAACGGGGCUAAACCAUGCACCGAAGCUGCGGCAGCGACACUGUGUGUUGUUGGGUAGGGGAGCGUUCUGUAAGCCUGCGAAGGUGUCCCGUGAGGGAUGCUGGAGGUAUCAGAAGUGCGAAUGCUGACAUAAGUAACGAUAAAGCGGGUGAAAAGCCCGCUCGCCGGAAGACCAAGGGUUCCUGUCCAACGUUA
Molecule: ribosomal RNA, 255 nt
Filed under: Salmonella enterica subsp. enterica serovar Kentucky
Lineage: Bacteria; Pseudomonadati; Pseudomonadota; Gammaproteobacteria; Enterobacterales; Enterobacteriaceae
Description: partial 23S ribosomal RNA
Rfam family: Bacterial large subunit ribosomal RNA
Source: RNAcentral